AUUGACGACGGAGACGGCGAAAUUAUAGGUAAAAACGCGAGAUUUUAGGCAAAUUUGACGAGGAAGACGGGCAUUUUGGGCAAAAACGAGCGAUUUUUAGGCAAACUUGACGAGGAAGACGGACAUUUUGAGCAAAACUCGCAUUUUUAGGCAAACUUGACGAGGAAGACGGGCCAUUUUGAGUAAAAGGAGAGCUGUUUUUCGGCAAACUUGACGAGGAAGACGGACCAACAUUCAUUUUUCCCGCGCGCUAACUCGACUGACGAGGAAGCCGGUCCAAUAAUACAAUUCUGCGCGCGAACUCGACUGACGAGGAAGACGGACCGAUAAUCAUUUCUGCGCGCGCAAACUUUGACUGACGAGGAAGACGGACCAACAAUCAACUCCGCGAGCUCAAACUCAACUGACGGGGAAGACGGACCAACAUUCAUUUUUAUGCGCGCGCGAUCUUGACUGUCUAGGAAGACAGACCGAUAAUUAAUUCUUGCGCGCGCAAACUGACUGACUAGGAAGACAGACCGAUAAUUAAUUCUUGCGCGCGCAAACUUACUAACGAGGAAGACAGACCCGAUAAUUAAUUCAGCGAGCAACAAAAAAAAUACUCAACUGACGAGGAAGACAGAAGUUCAAUUAUAGCGCGCAAAUCUCUAAAGUUUUACGAGAAAGCGAGAACAAAAAAAAAAAAAUAUAA
RNAcentral lists this small RNA (691 nucleotides) under Haliotid herpesvirus 1. Lineage: Duplodnaviria; Heunggongvirae; Peploviricota; Herviviricetes; Herpesvirales; Malacoherpesviridae. The record is from RNAcentral.